AACGUUGCGUCUUGUACAAUUG
This 22-nucleotide microRNA is filed under the name Monodelphis domestica (gray short-tailed opossum). RNAcentral describes it as "mdo-miR-7371k-3p". Lineage: Eukaryota; Metazoa; Chordata; Mammalia; Didelphimorphia; Didelphidae. The record is from miRBase by way of RNAcentral.